CGCGGUGACACGGGAAUGACCUGUUUCCUGCCCAAAGGGUGACAUCGGUGAACAUGCAGUGCUUCCGGAGGGUGUUCAGGUGGGAUAAGACGCAGUCUGGGUGGGAAGCUUUGUGGAAAAGCAGGAUGUUCAUGGAGCCCGUGCUCGUCCGGGAUUUGCGGUUCUCGUGGACGCUGACUGACAUGAUGACAGAUCUAUUGCCGCCUCUCUCCGCAACCUCCCGGUGUCUCGAAAGCCUCCGCAGCGCUGCCACAGCCGCCCCCGACUCCGCGGGCGGAGCGCUGCCGCUGCCGCUGCCG
RNAcentral lists this long non-coding RNA (299 nucleotides) under Gallus gallus (chicken). The record is from RNAcentral. Lineage: Eukaryota; Metazoa; Chordata; Aves; Galliformes; Phasianidae.